AUUGAACGCUGGCGGCAGGCCUAACACAUGCAAGUCGAGCGGAGCGGCGGACGGGUGAGUAAUGCCUAGGAAUCUGCCUGGUAGUGGGGGAUAACGUCGGGCAACGGGCGCUAAUACCGCAUACUAACAGAUGAGCCUAGGUCGGCUUAGCUAGUUGGUGGGGUAAAGGCCUACCAAGGCGACGAUCCGUAACUGGUCGGAGAGGUAGAUCAGUCACGCUUGAACUGAGAGACGGUCCAGACUCCUCCGGUAGGCAGCCUUGGUGAAUAUUGGAAAAUGGGCGAAAGCCUGAUCCAGCCAUGCCGCUUGUGUGAAGAAGGUCUUCGGAUUGUAAAGCCCUUUAAGUUGGGAGGCGUGACCAACAGAAUACGCACCGGCUAACUUCGUGCCAGCAGCCGCGGUAAUUC
Molecule: ribosomal RNA, 407 nt
Filed under: uncultured bacterium
Lineage: Bacteria
Description: partial 16S ribosomal RNA
Rfam family: Bacterial small subunit ribosomal RNA
Source: RNAcentral